This 5112-nucleotide long non-coding RNA is filed under the name Canis lupus familiaris (dog). RNAcentral describes it as "lncRNA (ENSCAFG00000053954.1)". The record is from RNAcentral. Lineage: Eukaryota; Metazoa; Chordata; Mammalia; Carnivora; Canidae.
UUUUUUCUUUUUCUUUCUUUCUUUUUUUUUUCCAAUAAUGCUUUCUACUGUGCUUUCAAGACUGAAAAAAAAAUCACUCGUAGAUGGUGAUAACUCAAUAACAUAGCGCGUCAAUUUAAAUAGAAAUCUACAAAAAUUGUCUGACACCUGGUUCUGAUUACCUGUGAUUUGGAGAAAUUCAUGUCAUAACAAUGGAUAGCCACGUGUGCACUGGAGUAAUUUUUGAUGUAUUUCAUAUGAAAAGUAAACAUGCCUUUGAAUUUUUACAAUGAUGCAGCCAGUUUUUGCUCAAGUCUGUAAGAUAGGGAGCUGGGGGCUGGAUGAGGGCUGUGUCAGAGGGGGACAAUGAUUGGCAUAUUUUCCUGUAGUGCUUUGCGUGACUCCUGGUUGGAGAGCCCAACAGACAGGACACUCAAAGAUUUCCCUGCUCCCUUCCUUCCCUCGUGUGCCUCCAACACCACGCUUGAGAAACAGCAGCAGGGAAACGGAUGCACAUGUAGGUGAUGGCACCACGUCCUGGCAGCCACACAUACCAGCUAUGUCGUCCUUGGGCAAAUCACCAGCCUCUCUGUGCUUUCAUCACUUCAUCAGUAAAGUAAUGGUAAUAGUGACGAGGUUCAAAUGAGAUGUAGGUAAUGUCUUGAGAGAAAAGCUUGAUAUCCGGACGUACUCCAUAAACGUCAGCUAGUAUUACUGUCACACGUAACACACUGGAUUGGCAUCACCCAUUUCCUCCCAUUCUAUGAGUUCUUGGAGGACAGAGACCACAGCUUCGUCUUCUCUGUAUCCACAGGUCUGACCAUACAACAUUCCAUUAAGGUGUUUGAACUGAAGACGGAGAAUCGAAUGGGAAAAUCAUUCGUGAGAGAGAGCAAAGAGAUGGCAACCAAGCUAAAGGACAGAGAUGAACAACUUCCGCUUUGGGGUGGAGGGUACUAAGAUCUGUGUGCUACUUCAGAGUCAACUCUGUACCCAACAUAUUUUCAUCUCGAUGCAUUUAACAAAUUAUUCCUCAAAGUGCCUUUGGGUAGGCUACUGUCAGAAUCUGCACCUAGAGUUUGUUUCCUCUGCUGCAAAAUAGACCUGAAUGCUACAGAAGCAAACCAAUUUUUUAAAAACCUUAUCGUAAGGUGCUAGAAAUGUUUUGGUCUCGAUGUUGGAUGUAUAUUACAUAUCUGUAAUUUUCUAAUUUGCAACUUUACUACAUAUAUAUAUAUAUAUGUUAUGCCUUAAAACAAACUUUUAAAAAGCCCAUCGGUAGCAAUCCCACCUGAUACUUGUUUACAAGAUCACCACUGCUACCCUGAGUGUCCUUCCCUUGGUACCUCGGAACCUACUGCUCCCAAAGGCAUCCUGUGUAUACACAGCAUAUAAUCAUGGGAAAUCUCCUAGAACUCACUUUGAAUAGACAAGCCCUCAGGGCUUCAAUACACCGGAGCUUUUUGUUACAAGCACCCAAAAUUAAUGUUCAUGUCAUCUAUCCACCAGAGGGAGCCAGCACAGCCGGAAUAAUAACAUACUGACCUUAGCAAACCACCAAUCAAGCUUUUCAGACAAGGACUGCAGAGUUUCAAUACAUGCAAGUAUGAAUUUCUUAGUUCCUAGGAAAGCAUGUGAAAUUUUACUGAAGUUGGAUUUCAUUCAUGGCUUUAUUUCUCUCCUCAGAUGUAGACAUCUAAUAAUAAGAGGCAAUUAACUUUGGAGGCAUUAACGUUAAUAAAUGCCUAUUAAGGAUAAGGGUGUGUGAGUGUCAGGAUAGCUCAUCUUUGAAAAACACGUUAUGGAUUAUGAAGAAUCUUCAGAAAUGAGAAAUGAGUUUUGACAAUUUUUCUUCUUAAUACAGGAAUUUAUAGUUUGCGCCUCUUGGAGAUGAAAAAGCAGUUUCCAUUGCAUUGAUGUUGGGCUAUCAUUAGCAUAUAUGCAAAUUAGACCUGUGAGGUCCAGGGCAUGGUUUUUCCAGCAGAGCAUGGGAUAGAUUUCAGGGCCCACACACCCUACCAGACAGCUCUGUACUGGGACAGGUACAUGGGCACAUUUGCAGUCUCAGGUCUGGGCAAUGGUGGCCCUAGAUGAUGCUUUGAUAAGGACAAUGAUGUUUUCCUAAUAUCAUGUAAAAUGCAGUUCCAAGACAAGUGGCAACUGCCCCCUUCCAAUCAAAUGCUGACCUUGAGUUCUUGCUAUAAAGGAAUUCUGGAUUCACUACUGGGCUAUGGAAAUGAACAUUUUCCAUCCUGUUCUCCUUGGCUGCAACCUGCCCUGCUGGACAGGUCUUGCUCAUAUUUUCCAAUUUGUCUUUUUCUUUAUAAUUUCCAUUUCCUGAUCUCUCCUCAUCUUCUUAUUUUUGUAGCCAUGAAUUUUUCUCGUUGGUUGAAAAUUUUUGUAGGAGGAAACUGAAACCAGGCAUUCCGUUAAACAUCUUAUAUGCGAUCAUUCCUGACUUAGCUUAUUUGACCUGACAACAGCUCUUAACUCUGUUGAUCACUCUAUUCUUAGAGAACAAUCUCUCAUUUGGCUUCCAGGACAUAGCUCUUCAGCUUCUCCUCCUUCCACGCUGGCUGUUCUUUCUCAGCCCCUGCAUGGAUUACUCCUCAUAUUCCUGAUUUCUAAGGGUUGACAUUCACGAAUCAUUCUUUCCUCUGCUCUGUCUACACCACUGCCUAAGUGAUCUUACCUGGCCUACAGUGUUACACACCAUUCAUCAUGAACAACUCCCAAGUUCUAUCACCCCAGCCUCUGCCCUGAACUUCACACUCCUAUUCAGUUGCCUACUCAACAUCUCUAUCUGGAUGUUUAAAGGCAUCUUGAAUUGACAUGCCCCAAAGCAAACCCUUAAUUUUCUCCCCUUACUAUGUGCUUCUCUCACAGUCUUUCUUCCUGAACAAAUGAUACCUCCUUUUUUGCUUUUUUGGUUGCUUAUGCCAAAAACCUUGGAGUGAUUCUUGGUUCAUCUCUUUCUCUCACUCCUCACACCAGCAAAUGCUGUUGGUUCCCAGUUUGAAAUAUGUCCAACACUGGACUACUUUAUUACCACCUCCACAGCUAUUGCUCAGGUCUAAAUCAGCACCACCUCUUGGCCUGGAUUAUCACAACAGUCUUCUAAUUCACUUCCCUGGUUCUGCCCUUCUUCCCCUCCCCAACAUUCUUUACUAUGAUCAGAGUGAUUCUAAGUGAACCUAAGAGAGAUCGUGUCUCCUCUAGGUCAUAAUGUGUCUCACUUCAGAGAGUGAAACCCAAGAAACUUGAAGACUGUACAUGGUCAAUGAACCUUGGGUCACAGAUCCCAAAGCUCUACAUGGAUAGCCCCCUGCUGUAUUUUUGGUUAUUGCUCAAGCCUCACUGUGCUUUGUGCACCUUCUUUGAAUAUGUCAAACCUGCUUCCAUCUCCAGGUCUUGGUACUUGCUGGUCUGUCAGGAAUGCUCUUCCUUCAGAUGUUCCCUCAACUCUAGUAUCUGCUCAAAUAUCAUCUUAACAGAUAGGUCUUCUCUAACACACUAUAUUAAAUAAUACCACACUCCUAUCAUUCUCUAUCUCCCUUACCUUGCAUUAUUUUCUUUCCUAGCACUUCCUAACACCUCUCUUCAUUGUAUGGAUAUGUGUCUGGGUAUAUGUAUUUGUACAUACAAGCAGUAUAUACAUUUGUAUAUGUAUAUGUGUGUGUGUUUGAUCACUGUCUUCCCACCAAGAAUAUAAGCUCUAUGAUAGAAAGUAUUUUGUUUCAUUCAUUGCUAUAUCUGCCAGUGCCUAGGAAAAUGCUUAGCACAUAGUAAGUGUUCAAUAAAUAUUUGUUGAGGGUGCCUCGGUGGCUCAGUGGUUGAGCACCUGCCUUUGGCUCAGGGUAUGAUCCUGGGGUCCUGGGAUCGAGUCCCACAUCCGGCCCCCUAUAUGGAGCCUGCUUCUCCUUCUGCCUAUGUCUCUGCCUCUCUGUGUGUGUCUCAUGAAUGAAUAAAUAAAUAAAAUCUUCAAAAUAAAUAAAUAAAUAAAUAAAAAAUAAAUAUUUAUUGAAUGAAUGUUGAAUAAAUCUAGGCAGUUUUUAUUCUGACUGAAAGUUACAUACAAUAUAUAAAAUAAAAUGUGUUAAAAUUUCCUUAAAUUUUCCUGGGUUGCCCAAGCAGGAUUGGGCAUCACCAAAGGCAUUUAAAGAGAUGCAGUAUUUACCCUUGAAGUACAACGAGUCCACAUAACGUUUGAUGAAUAUUGGAGUGAAAUCUGCCAUCUUUAUGCUGCAUGAGUAGAUCGUCUAAAGGCAAUUGGGCAAAACAGAAGCUGUUAACUAACAUUACUUGACCCUUUUUGGCCUUGUGUUGAAUCACAAAGCAUUAUAUUUAUUACACGUUUGUUUCUUUUAACCACGUGCCAUCAAAUUCUAUGUAAUCAGGAUUUGCAUACAUGUUAUACGCUCACCUAAAAUGCAUGUAUUAUGAAUGUCAUGGUACAUUAUUGCAGAUGCUGAAGAAUCCAGGCUGAUGUUUUCUGAGGGAAUAUCCAUCAGUGAAGUCAGGAAUUGUUUCUAUUUAUCACUCAACCGCCAAAACCAGUUGUUAUAUGUAAAAAUUUCUUGAUGUGAGCUGUUAGCAUAUUCAAGUAUGUUUGAAAUUGAAUAUCUGAUCUAAAUGACAUAUAUUUUAAAUAUACUUGUGAAAGCCAAAAGACAAACUCAUUUAAAACAGGGUAUAAUUAACGAAAAGCUUCUAUUAAAAAAAAAAAAAGGCCCACACUAAUAGCUAGUCUGAUUUAUAGUAGCCUAAAGAAAAACACAAAUCUAAAAUCUCCUAAUAUUUCCUUUCUUAUGUAUUUUAGUGUUUGAUCUUUAUCUUUGAAAUGAACAUGUAGAGGUAAAAAUACAGUAUGAAUCAGAUAGGAUAUUUUAAUGCUUAUGCAUUUUAAAGGCCACGCACCAGUGUGGUUGGAAUGGGCUUUAGACCUGGACUCCCCGAGUAUGAAUCCUGGCUCAGCUACUUCCUGACUGUGGGUCUUGGGCAAAUGAUCUUGUCCACACGUUUCCGCUUCCUUAUAGGGUUGUUGUGAGGAAUAAUGAGAUGCCUCCUGGUAAAACUCUUAGACUGUCACUGAGUAUAAUCGCUCAAUAAAUACUAGCUAUUAUUAUCAACUAU